CGUAACAAGGUUUCCGUAGGUGAACCUGCGGAAGGAUCAUAGUUAUGGAGAGGUCAGCCCUCGCGGGCCCCUCGUCUCACUCUGGAUGCAAUGCGCCCCUCGCCGGGCGCUAGUCUCGGUCCUUUCGGACCUUGACAAAACUUUUGUAAUCCACAUCAUGCCUAUUGCCAAUACAAGAGAUUAUUACAACCAGUAGCGUUGGAUCCCUUGGCACGUCGUUCGAUGAAGACCGUUGCAAAAUGCGAUAAGUGGUGUGAUAUGCAAGUCCAAAACUUAUACGUGAACCAUCGAAUUGUUGAACGCACUGCAUCGAGCCUUACCCAGGAACGAUACGCCCCAUUGAGCGUCAUUAUGUCUUCGCGACCUCGAGUCUUUUUCUACUUGGGAGUCCGGGUUCGGGAUUCACGGCCGGUCGUCGGUCGCGCUUCCUUAGAUGAAUUGGCUGCGCCGGAGCGAGCGGUGACCUUGUCAUGAAUGUCGAGGUGAGCCGUCUUUCGGUCCGUGCGCAAGAUCCCCCUCUCUGUUGGGCGGGAUCGACUUGCGCGGCUUGCGCCGUCGCUACUUCUACACAUGACCUCACGG
Molecule: ribosomal RNA, 582 nt
Filed under: uncultured fungus
Lineage: Eukaryota; Fungi
Description: eukaryotic LSU rRNA
Rfam family: 5.8S ribosomal RNA (bases 188-349)
Source: RNAcentral